RNAcentral lists this ribosomal RNA (763 nucleotides) under bacterium enrichment culture clone HY318. Its description in RNAcentral is "bacterial SSU rRNA". It matches the Rfam family "Bacterial small subunit ribosomal RNA", at positions 9 to 748 of the family's 1533-position model. The record is from RNAcentral.
GAGUUUGAUCCUGGCUCAGAACGAACGCUGGCGGCGUGCUUAACACAUGCAAGUCGUACGUGAAAGUUUCCUUCGGGAGACGAGUAAAGUGGCGCACGGGUGAGUAACACGUGGAUAAUCUGCCCAAUGGUCCGGGAUAACACUUCGAAAGGGGUGCUAAUACCGGAUAAGCCCACGGGCUCUUCGGAGCUUGCGGGAAAAGGUGGGGACCUUCGGGCCUGCCGUCAUUGGAUGAGUCCGCGGCCCAUUAGCUAGUUGGUGGGGUAAAGGCCUACCAAGGCGACGAUGGGUAGCUGGUCUGAGAGGAUGAUCAGCCACACUGGAACUGAGACACGGUCCAGACUCCUACGGGAGGCAGCAGUGGGGAAUUUUGCGCAAUGGGGGAAACCCUGACGCGGCAACGCCGCGUGAGUGAUGAAGGCUUUCGGGUCGUAAAGCUCUGUCAGAGGGGAAGAAACCCCUGGAGGAUAAUACCCUUCAGGACUGACGGUACCCUCAAAGGAAGCACCGGCUAACUCCGUGCCAGCAGCCGCGGUAAUACGGAGGGUGCGAGCGUUGUUCGGAAUUAUUGGGCGUAAAGCGCGUGUAGGCGGUCUGAUAAGUCUGAUGUGAAAGCCCCGGGCUCAACCCGGGAAGUGCAUUGGAUACUGCCAGACUUGAGUACGGGAGAGGGUAGUGGAAUUCCGAGUGUAGGGGUGAAAUCCGUAGAUAUUCGGAGGAACACCGGUGGCGAAGGCGGCUGCCUGGACCGAUACUGACGCUG